UACAGAGGUCUCAAGCGUUGUUCGGAUUCAUUGGGCGUAAAGGGUGCGUAGGUGGUGCUGUAAGUCAGGUGUGAAAUCCCGGGGCUCAACCCCAGAACUGCACUUGAUACUGCAGUGCUCGAGGACUGGAGAGGAGAUCGGAAUUCAUGGUGUAGCAGUGAAAUGCGUAGAUAUCGAGAGGAACACCUGCGGCGAAGGCGGGUUGCUGGGCUGACACUGACGCUGAUGCGCGAAAGCCAGGGGAGCAAACGGG
RNAcentral lists this ribosomal RNA (253 nucleotides) under uncultured bacterium. Its description in RNAcentral is "partial 16S ribosomal RNA". It matches the Rfam family "Bacterial small subunit ribosomal RNA", at positions 524 to 776 of the family's 1533-position model. The record is from RNAcentral.